This 2192-nucleotide unclassified non-coding RNA is filed under the name Zea mays. RNAcentral's name for it is "misc RNA Zm00001eb180390". Lineage: Eukaryota; Viridiplantae; Streptophyta; Magnoliopsida; Poales; Poaceae. The record is from RNAcentral.
GGAGAUUUUCUCCUUCGCGUCUCCGACGCCCUCCAUCUUCAUCUCCUCACGGCGCGUUCCUGCGUCCUGGUCCGAGUCUCCAGCUCGCGCCCAGCCGCUUCAUCUCCCAGCCUCUCCUCCUUGCUUCUCUCUCCCUCUCGCGUCUUACUCCCAUGGCGCGCUCUCUGCUCGCUCGCGCUUUGCCGAGCUCCUUCCCGAUCUCCGCCCCACUAUGGCGCUGGCCGCCGCACCUAUGCCGGUUCUCUGCUCGGCCAUGGAAGUCGCGACCCCCUAGCUUCCUCUACCGACUCCGGCCGGAGCUCCCUCCCAUGGCAGCCGCUCGUCUGUCUCCCUGAUGCUCGUCGCGUGCGUCCCUGCCUCUCUGUUCUUUUCUCCUCCUCAAACUCGCCUUCCAGUUCGCUCGACCUCCUUCCCCUGGAGCUCCCACACGCCGCUGUCCUGGUCCAAGCUCCCGCGCGAGCCCCUCCCCUCUUCUCACUAGUGCCGCUCUCUACUUUUCCCUCCUCUUCUUCUUCCCCGCGCACCCAGACAUUCCGGCAUCCGGCCCAGCUCGGUCGCUCCUCCCUAAACUCGCCCCAACCAUGGCCACGCCCCUGCACGUCUUCCCCACGCGUGCCUGCUCCCCAUGGCCGGCUGCCAGCCCUUGUUCCUCCAUCGGACUGCGCUUCGGCCCCUCCCAUGGCGCUCGGCAUCACCUCUGUCUCCCCUGCGCGUCGUGUUUCUUUUCCCACCCCAUGGCGGCUUCCCAUGGCGCCCCAGCUCCCUGGCUCACCGGCCGUGCAGCUCGGCCCCGCCCAUCCGCGCUCCUCCCGGCUCCAGCCCCCUCUGCCCGGUCGCCGUCGAGUUCCCUGCGCGCGCUCGUGGCUCGGCAGCAACACCAGCGAACUUAGUCCCUGCAUCCUCCCUGCUGUUGCGUCCAUGGCGCCCAGCUCGGAUUUUUGCUUGGUUGCCUGCCGUUUCCCGGUGCCGUGGUCUCGCCCGGCCAUGUCCUGUCAAGGUUGUUCCUGCACGCGCGUCCUGAUACCCCUGCUUGCUAUCAGGCCGACCGUCAGCAGCUCCCCGGCCAUGUCUUCAUCCAUAACACCGUCAACCGGUGUAUCUCCUUCGGUGUGCUGUUGGAUCCCUGCCUCUGCAUUGACUCUGACGCUGCGACGUUCCUGUGCCGUGUUGGUUGUACGCCAACCGCUCAACAAAAUGUGUUGUUGGCCUCCUCACCGAGCACUGUAUUGCCAUGGCACAGAUGCCCGCAUCCUCCAUCUUCGCGUCUUCUAGAUGUCAGCACAACCCCUCCGCAUCGUCGGGCUCAUCGGCACGCUGCUCGUUCACACUUCACGCGUCUGCGACGUCGUCACAUGUCUCCUCGCCAGCAGUGAACGCCUAGGAGAGGAAAUUCGAGAAGGUUUGUAUGGUACGAUAAAUAAUCGUGUGAUGCGGAAGACGAGCCAAGUCGACCCCAAGCGCGGGCUAAUCCGCAAGAUGAUGCUGAUGGACGAACCGAAAGAUGGAUAAUCUAAACAAGUGCCAAGCCAAAGGAUGCUCGCCAAGUGGUCGCCUAACAAACACUAACCUAGUGUUACUCAGGUUCGGAUCUUCUGUGACCCCGGUUUCGGCCCCGGUAGCUUCGGCUGUGCCGGUUUCAGCUUCGGGGGCUUCCACUCUGGUGGCUUCAGCUGCGGCGCCUUUGGCUUCGGCGGUCUCGACAAAAGCAACUUUUGACACUGUCGCCGGUGGCGGCGUCUGAUGAAUCACAUCUGAUAUCUGAAUAAGUCUUCGUUUUUCGGCAGUGCAGGACCUUGUUCUGCCGAAGCUGCUUCGUCCUUCUGAAAAAACUUCGUCAGUUCCGGCGCCAGCGGACAUAGCUUGGCAGGCAAGGGUUCAGUCAUUACCAUCAUAAUCUCUUCUACAUCGGCAGCAGAAGGCGUUGCAGGAGUAUCUUCUUCUCGAACCAACGUUUUUGGUUCUGGAGAUGCAGUUUUUCUCUUUCUUGCAGCAGCCACCUUCAGCUCAGGGCUCAACUUUUUGGCCACUUUGGUGCUCUCUUCGUCAACAGCGCUGGCAAUUCUUUUUCUCUUCGGGCCGCCAGCAUCUCCGCCCAAUCGCCCAUAGUCAGGAUAUUCGAAGCCUAUAGCAUCAAGUACUCUGUUUAGCCUUCGUUUCGGCCGGGUGCCGAAGGCUGCUGUCAUCAAUUGGUC